Molecule: long non-coding RNA, 253 nt
Filed under: Lathyrus oleraceus (garden pea)
Lineage: Eukaryota; Viridiplantae; Streptophyta; Magnoliopsida; Fabales; Fabaceae
Description: Pisum sativum (pea) long non-coding RNA (PSAT_LNC033498)
Source: RNAcentral
UCAUGCAACUCUUAUUCUCCAAAAUAUUCCGAAGAUACAUCUCCGGAAUAUUUUAAUGUUACCUUACAUUUUGGUGCAUUCGAAAAUAUAUAUCUCCGAAAACAGAGAGCAUUUGUGAAAAUUUAUAUGAUGUGAAAGAAAUAUCUAAGGUGUCAUAAGAAACUCUCUAAAAUUAUAUCUAGCAUCCCUAAGAUCCCUCGUAUGAUUAUAAUACCAAAAGUACCCCUAUUAUUUUUUCAUUAAUCAUAUGUUU